Molecule: long non-coding RNA, 1429 nt
Organism: Aegilops tauschii subsp. strangulata
Lineage: Eukaryota; Viridiplantae; Streptophyta; Magnoliopsida; Poales; Poaceae
Source: RefSeq, a predicted model, not a curated record
GCGGCGGCGGCAGUCGGCGGCAGCGCAGCGCCGCGGCGGUCAACCGUGGACGGCGGCAGCGGCGCACCAAGAUCUGCUUUCUCUUGCUGCCACGGAGCGCCGGCUAGAGCAGAGUGGCGGCUGCAGACGAUGAGAAGCUCCAAAUCAAGGGAUGUGAGAUGGAUCCUCUGGACUUUUUGCCUAUAAGAUUUCAUUUCGGCGGUCACUUUGUGAACGAUGGGCAGUAUGUACACUAUGUUGAUGGUGUUGUCGGAAUGUCGCAUUUGGACCGAGACAAAAUGUCAUUGCCGGAGAUAAUUGGUAGGAAGCUCAUUGCAAGGAAGUGUAGUUCCACUGGCUAAAUCAUGGGAGGAAAGAACUGCAAGAUGGGAUUGGUUUGUUGCAUGAUGAUGUGUCAUGUUUGAGCAUGGUUUCUGCAAUUGAAGAGGGAGGAGUAACUAAAAUAUAUGUAGAGAACAUUGCUAAAUAUCAUAUAUUGGCAAGUGUUAUGCCAUCAUAUGAAGAAGAGGGGGGAAAUCAGGAGGGGCAAAUUGUCCCGUGGAUAAAGUAACGAUAGAAGUGAUACAAGUAUCCGCGCCGACAGCCGAAGAUGAUACAGAUGAAGAAGACAGUGACUAUAUUCUUGGAUAUGAGAAUCUUUGGAAGAAGGAAAUGAGAUAAUCAAGAAAUAUGUAGAGUAUAAGAAGAAGAUGAAGCAAUGCGAGUUACAAUGAUUCUUGGGACUAGUUUUUCUCAUUACUCUUCAAGAUGUCAAUGUAUAUGAUGGUGAAGGCUAGGUAAUAAUUUCAUACCAACACAAAGGUAUCAUCACAGGUGUACAUAAUUGGGCCCCUCUUGCAGGACAAAGAAAUUGUGCAAGACAUGUGUAUGCCAAUUGGAGAAGAGAAUUCAGAGUGAAAGAGUGGCAAAAACUUUCUGGAAUUGUGAAAAGGUCUCUUUUGUAAGCCUUUUCAACUUGGCAAGGGCAAAGUUAGCAAGAAACUAUCAAAGGUGCAAGGGCAAUAACCAGGUUAGUUCCCAAUGCUACAGGCACAUACAGAGGGACAAAGAGACCACCACCCAUGUCCAAGCCUUCUCAACAGAGCACCAAUGUUGCAGGCACAUCCAGAGGCACAAAGAGACCACUACCCAUGUCCAGCCUCCUAAGCCUAAUGUCCAAGGGAAAGACAAGAGUAUUCAGAAGAACGCGUCCUCCUCAAAGGCUGCAAUGAAAGGUGUCGCCGCCUCACUGUCAAUGUGAAAUCUGGAAGUGCUAAUUGAUAGUUCAAGGCACUUGGAAGGGAGGCAAAAAGGCCAAGGAAAGUACCCACAAGACUGCUGGACUGAGUGUUGUGCUACUAUGUCCGAUGUGAUGCCUCUGCUAAGACCUAUCUAUAGUUUGUUUGUGUGGAACUAUGUGUGCUGUUAUUGAAGGAAAUAUGCCCUAGAG